AUGGUGAAGUUUACAGCAGAGGAGCUCCGCGCAAUUAUGGACAAGAGGGACAACAUCCGCAACAUGUCUGUUACUGCUCAUGCGGACCAUGGCAAGUCUACGCUUACGAAUACGCUUGUAGAAGCUGCUCGGACUAUUGCCGAGGAAGUUGCUAGCGAUGUUCGCAUGACCGGUGCCCCUGCAGACAAGGCCGAGGGCGAGAAGGUUGUUGCUUCAUCACCUCCUUAG
RNAcentral lists this ribosomal RNA (228 nucleotides) under Triticum aestivum (bread wheat). RNAcentral's name for it is "partial small subunit ribosomal RNA". Lineage: Eukaryota; Viridiplantae; Streptophyta; Magnoliopsida; Poales; Poaceae. The record is from RNAcentral.